GACCCUUCUUAUUCUUUCAGAUGUGGACUAGUACAUUGGAUGUAGACAAAUACAUUAGUUAGCCUCUUGUUCCUUCUGUGCUGUGUCUGGUCUAUUAAUGAAUUGGAAAAUGUGUGCUGUGGAUUAAGCUUUCUGAGUUGGUGACAAACCUUAAAUCGAGUGCCAAAAUAAAGUGUGGGUCCCUCUGUCUAGAAGUUCAUGCAAGUGCCUGUGCCUGAGGAUACCAGGUCCACUUCUGAAGGUGUGCAACCAUGGCUCAGAAUUCUGAGGAAAAUGCUAAGUUGCAGGAGAAAAUAAAUAGCUGUCAGAAGGUCUGAAGAGGAGAUUCAUGUGAGAUGAGAAAGGUGAAAUUUCAGACAAGGAAAGCUGUGUACAGUGUCUCACCAGUCCCCCACAAAGAGACAGCUGCUGUUGCUGUUACAAUCACAUUUUGUUUUUGUCAUUGUUGGUGUUCUUCAUUUGAUUCUUAUUGAACAGAAAUGACAGUUUGAUUUCACUUGCUUUUAAAAUAAAAAGCUUGUCCAAUGUAUCCUGCA
RNAcentral lists this long non-coding RNA (536 nucleotides) under Junco hyemalis (dark-eyed junco). RNAcentral describes it as "lncRNA (ENSJHYG00000005574.1)". Lineage: Eukaryota; Metazoa; Chordata; Aves; Passeriformes; Passerellidae. The record is from RNAcentral.